RNAcentral lists this long non-coding RNA (768 nucleotides) under Ananas comosus (pineapple). Its description in RNAcentral is "long non-coding RNA (ACOM_LNC039638)". The record is from RNAcentral. Lineage: Eukaryota; Viridiplantae; Streptophyta; Magnoliopsida; Poales; Bromeliaceae.
CUUAAUCAUAAUUAUAAGGAUAAUAAAGUUUGCUCUCACCGACCAUCCCUAAAACAAGUGGCAAAGGGCUUGGUGGUUGGUACCCGAGACCCAAGUUCGAAUCCUAGUUGAUUCACAUUUUCAGCUAAAUUUAUUUUCUAAAUGAAAUAAACGAAGCGGAUAUAUAUCAUGAACUUGAGAAAUCUUCGGGUUGUAAAACGAGCAUUGCUUCUGUACUUUCGAAAAUACGGAGGUCUUUGUAUUUCGAGUUGUUUUUGAUGAUUGAACAUCUGAUUCAGCAAUCGACCAGAUCCGUUAGAUAUGAUCUAGAUGAUUGAAAUUAUUUAGAAUAAAUUAAAUUUAUCAUUUUUUUAUUUUAUUUGUCUAGUGAACGUAUAGUCUCAAAAUGAAUUGCUGAAAUUAAAAAUCUCAUAAAAAAUAGUGAUAAAAAAUUUAAAUUUCAAAUCAGAAGUACAUAUCUAGCUCUCAGUAAACUUUUAUCUAAUUUAGAUUAUUUUACACUGUUGAACCUACAAACAUGCCGCAUCAACCAUUAAAAUAGUCAUUUUUUAAAUCUUUUGAUCACUUGGCAAAUAAUAUCGAAAUAUUAUAAAAUUCAGUUUCGAAAUAGUUCUAAUGGCACAGAUCGUAUCUAAUAGUGUUGUUUGUCGAAUCAAAUGUCUUACCAUUGAAAAUAUAUAAUUUGGAAAUACAAAAACCUCCAUAUAUUCAGAAGCACGUGCUUAAAUAUGUAUACUUAUCCUAUCAAAAAUUUAACUGAUUUAGCUU